Molecule: RNA transcript, 2697 nt
Organism: Physcomitrium patens
Lineage: Eukaryota; Viridiplantae; Streptophyta; Bryopsida; Funariales; Funariaceae
Source: RefSeq, a predicted model, not a curated record
GAGCUGUAUUUUUUGUGGAUAUUUACAUACAAGACAUUUCACACUCCCCGUGUCUUGUUGUUUUUCUUGUUUUAGUGCUGGUUCUAUUAUCCAUCAGAGGUUUGCUCGUGCUGCAAGGAGUGGCGAGACCCUCGUCCAUGGCCACGUCCAUAGCUGUACGUCGCCUUGUCACAGCGCAGGGCCUGCAGCUUCGCCGAGCACUGCAGCCUGACCCCUGCGCUGCCCGCGCCUGUUUCCAUCUCGCUAGCAAUGGGAGGGGUGUGGUUUUGCUGUGAGUCUUUUGGAGAAUUUUGGGUUGUUUUGAUGCUCGCGUUGUACAGAUGUUUUGGUUCUUUUUUGGGUGUUUUGUGUGCAUGUAUUCAACGGAACGUGGGAUUUGUGUUGAUGUAUUGCGUUGGUUUUGUUGUUAAUCUUGUGUGCUUUAGAGCGCUGUUGUUUCCCAGGAGUCAAAGUUUGGUCAAAUCUCAUGCAACGGUACGCCUUGGCUGUCGUUUCUCUUUUGGAGAUGUUUCGGCUUGUUGUGCCAUCAUUGCAAUUACUGUCGCGACAGCUUGUUUGAUUAGGUUUGGUUUGGUUUUCUUUGUUUGUUUUAAUGAUUUUAUGUAGUGAGGAGUGAGCUGAAAUGCUUCCAAAGAGAUUGCAGAGACACCUUGCAGCUAGAGAUUGUGGAACCUGUUAAAUGAGAUUCAGAAGGUCUGCAGCCUUGGGCGAUGUGGCGCAAAUUUAGAGCGUGAAUUUGCAUAAUGCUGUGGUGUAUGGGAUUGAUUGCACCUGAUUAUUGAGCUGCAAAAGAGUAGUUGGAUUUUUUUCACAGGAACAUGUACUUGUCAGAACAAUUUAUGGGUAGAUCCCAGUAGUUUGCAGUCGUUCUUGGCGCUUGGAAUCGUUGGCCGUCUUGAAUUGCUACAAUUUCAUCCGUCCUUAAAGCAAGCAAUAAAAGUUUGAAAAGAUUUUUCUUCUGGGUUGAGCUAUAAAGAUGCUUUAAAUGAAUUGGCAAGCUUUAGCAUAAUUGUUACAGUUCACUUGGAGGCGCCUUAGAGAACCUAGCUGUAAGACGCUUGCAAUUCAGUAAUAAUCUAAUAGAUUUAGCGUUCAGCUGAGUUAGACGAGAGAGGUUUCUCGCUCAUAGGCGCCGUCCUCGAUGUGGGUCUCAUGACUCGCCGCAGCAAGUUUGUCCUCUCGUCCACAGUUUGAGCAAUUUUGAUACAAUUCGAGGGUUGGCAAUGAAAGAACCAGUAGUUCGACCAAUAGAAAAUUUUGAUGAGAGGACCAACAUUCAUGUAAGGAUUGGCAAUAAGUUUCUACAUUAAUUUUACAUGAACAACAUGAAUGUUAUCUUUUAAUAUGCACCGUGGAAUAUGGAUUUCUGUGACGCUUACUUUUGCACCAUGCAUGCAACAGUGGCCGAAGCAGCUCAAUGUCAAUAUCGUUUAGGUCGAUCCCGAAAUUACUGACAUCAUUGAACACGAGAAAAAUCUUCAAUGGAAGGUAUGAUUUCUAGCACUGUUUCCAUUAUGUUUAUGUCAGAAUAUCAAGUGGUGUUUGAUGCUUGCAUUGCCUUUUUUAGGGCUUGACGAUGUUGUAUCUUCCUCCACUCGUGUCACGAUUGACAGGGCCUCGAGUUGAUCCCAUCAGAGAAUUUCACGUCUGUUUCAGUUAUGCAGGCAGUAGGUUCCGUCAUGACCAAUAAGUACAGUGAAGGAUAUCCUGGUGCUCUCUAGUACGGUGGUAACGAAUGCGUCUUCUCCCCUUCUCGUCUUUAAUCGAUUUUCUUCAACACAUCUUCACUGCGACAUUGGAUGUAAUUUUUCCAUUUAUUAUGUCGUACUGACUUCUCUAUACAAAUGCAGAUUUAUUGAUAAGGCAGAAAGGUAGUGUCAAAACAGUGCUCCCGCAGCUUUCCUCCUUGACCUAGACAAAGGAGUUUGCUUCUUUUAUCUGUAUUUGAACAAACCUUAAGCUAUUAGACUGUGUCUCUGACCUCGAAAUUGUUCCUGCCUUAUUUAGUGUAGCAUACUACACUAAUAUGAAACAUCUGUUGAACAAUGAAUUUGCAGCCCCUCGCUGGAUCACCAGCCAACUUUCAGGUUAACACAGCUCUCUUGAAGCCACAUGAGCGCAUAAUAGUUUUAAAUCUUCCCCAUGGUGGUAAUAUAUCUCGUGGGUCCCGGGUGUGACUGCUGACAAAGCUCUUUGCAUGCUACUUUUCAUUACUGACUUCACAGCGCCACAGAAUUUGUUCAGCUAUUUUUGUGCUUGUUAGUAGCUUUAAAUUUCUCGAAUUGCCAUGCAUUUACUAAUUGGCUCUGGAUUUCAUGGCAACCUACGGAUACAAAGAAAACCUUGGCUGUUUCAAUUUCCUUUGAGACCAUGCCCUGGAGACUAGACGAGUCAACCCGUUACUUUGACUGUGAUACGGCCAAAACUGAUAGUAGCUGGUUCUAGUGCCUAUGCUCGCCAUUACGACUACACUGGUAUGAGUAAGCGAAUAGAUGCCGAGUUUUCUGCAGUGAGAGGGCAUGCACCUUCGGCUUGUUUUCUGCAGUUUGUGGGACUUACUUUGACCACAACUUUCAAAAAUUUAUCCAGGAUUAGUUUCCAUUGUUUCAUGGACUAAACUCCUAAGGAUAGUAUAAAAUGAUAAAUAGUAAAAGUACUCAUUUUGUUGAAUCUCAUAAGUAAAGCAAUGUUUGGGCU